AAAAAGGUAAACCCUAUGUUUCCGUGUCCAACUUGACUGUUCGUCUUAUAUGAAAUUUUUUAUAAUUCGUAUUUUGAUUGUUGUUAGAUGCAUAAACAUGAUUAAUAUUUUAUGCAUGACUUGUCUUUUUAAUUUUUUCAUAAUUUUUUUAAAUAAGACGGACAGUCAAAGUUGGGCACAGAAAUCAGGGUUUGUCUUUUU
Molecule: microRNA precursor, 201 nt
Organism: Oryza sativa Japonica Group (Japanese rice)
Lineage: Eukaryota; Viridiplantae; Streptophyta; Magnoliopsida; Poales; Poaceae
Rfam family: MIR812 microRNA precursor family
Source: Rfam